GGGGCUGUAGCUCAGCUGGGAGAGCACCUGCUUUGCAAGCAGGGGGUCAGCGGUUCGAUCCCGCUCAGCUCCAACA
RNAcentral lists this transfer RNA (76 nucleotides) under Rhizobium leguminosarum. RNAcentral describes it as "tRNA-Ala". It matches the Rfam family "tRNA". Rfam says of the family: Transfer RNA (tRNA) molecules are approximately 80 nucleotides in length. Their secondary structure includes four short double-helical elements and three loops (D, anti-codon, and T loops). Further hydrogen bonds mediate the characteristic L-shaped molecular structure. tRNAs have two regions of fundamental functional importance: the anti-codon, which is responsible for specific mRNA codon recognition, and the 3' end, to which the tRNAs corresponding amino acid is attached (by aminoacyl-tRNA synthetases). tRNAs cope with the degeneracy of the genetic code in two manners: having more than one tRNA (with a specific anti-codon) for a particular amino acid; and 'wobble' base-pairing, i.e. permitting non-standard base-pairing at the 3rd anti-codon position. The record is from RNAcentral. Lineage: Bacteria; Pseudomonadati; Pseudomonadota; Alphaproteobacteria; Hyphomicrobiales; Rhizobiaceae.